This 88-nucleotide transfer RNA is filed under the name Candidatus Melainabacteria bacterium RIFCSPLOWO2_02_FULL_35_15. RNAcentral describes it as "tRNA-Ser". It matches the Rfam family "tRNA". From Rfam's summary of the family: Transfer RNA (tRNA) molecules are approximately 80 nucleotides in length. Lineage: Bacteria; Bacillati; Candidatus Melainabacteria. RNAcentral also lists the same sequence under 1 other name. The record is from RNAcentral.
GGAGACGUACCGAAGUGGUCGUAACGGGGCUGACUCGAAAUCAGCUUGACGAGCAAUCGUCACGUGAGUUCGAAUCUCACCGUCUCCG